GCAGUGUACCCGCGGCAAGACGGAAAGACCCCGUGAACCUUUACUAUAGCUUGACACUGAACAUUGAGCCUUGAUGUGUAGGAUAGGUGGGAGGCUUUGAAGUGUGGACGCCAGUCUGCAUGGAGCCGACCUUGAAAUACCACCCUUUAAUGUUUGAUGUUCUAACGUGGACCCGUAAUCCGGGUUGCGGACAGUGUCUGGUGGGUAGUUUGACUGGGGCGGUCUCCUCCUAAAGAGUAACGGAGGAGCACGAAGGUUGGCUAAUCCUGGUCGGACAUCAGGAGGUUAGUGCAAUGGCAUAAGCCAGCUUGACUGCGAGCGUGACGGCGCGAGCAGGUGCGAAAGCAGGUCAUAGUGAUCCGGUGGUUCUGAAUGGAAGGGCCAUCGCUCAACGGAUAAAAGGUACUCCGGGGAUAACAGGCUGAUACCGCCCAAGAGUUCAUAUCGACGGCGGUGUUUGGCACCUCGAUGUCGGCUCAUCACAUCCUGGGGCUGAAGUAGGUCCCAAGGGUAUGGCUGUUCGCCAUUUAAAGUGGUACGCGAGCUGGGUUUAGAACGUCGUGAGACAGUUCGGUCCCUAUCUGCCGUGGGCGCUGGAGAACUGAGGGGGGCUGCUCCUAGUACGAGAGGACCGGAGUGGACGCAUCACUGGUGUUCGGGUUGUCAUGCCAAUGGCACUGCCCGGUAGCUAAAUGCGGAAGAGAUAAGUGCUGAAAGCAUCUAAGCACGAAACUUGCCCCGAGAUGAGUUCUCCCUGAGACUUAGAGUCUCCUGAAGGAACGUUGAAGACGACGACGUUGAUAGGCCGGGUGUGUAAGCGCAGCGAUGCGUUGAGCUAACCGGUACUAAUGAACCGUGAGGCUUAACCUUAC
This 872-nucleotide ribosomal RNA is filed under the name Salmonella enterica. RNAcentral's name for it is "partial 23S ribosomal RNA". It matches the Rfam family "Bacterial large subunit ribosomal RNA", at positions 2061 to 2925 of the family's 2925-position model. The record is from RNAcentral. Lineage: Bacteria; Pseudomonadati; Pseudomonadota; Gammaproteobacteria; Enterobacterales; Enterobacteriaceae.